UAGUGUGCUUCUGUUUUCUCUUUUUGCUGUGUGUUGGAAACUGUGGCUUGUGUGCGUUUUCUGUGUUUGUGUUAUAGGGCUAUGUUAGAGCAGGCGUCCCUCUGUCACCCUGUGUACGGACAGACGCACUCACGCCAGUAGGAGGGGAUUGUGGGAAGGGGGUGUAGCUCUCAGAGGGUGUGCUCAACUCCUCUCUUUUCCCUUCUUCCCGCCAUCACGGCCCUCUUCUCCUCCAGUCCUGCGGCCCAGCCCGGCGCUCACGUACAGGCUCCAGGAAAAUUACCUUUGAGGAUCUUUGAUGCGGAAGCAACGUGGAUGCUGUCCUUGGGGCUGAGGUAGUAGAUUGAAUAGUUGUGGGGUUGUGUAACCGCUUUUUGAGAUAACUAUACAAUCUACUGUCUUUCCCAAGGAGACAGCUGAGUCAGCCAUUCGCCGACUGUCUCCUCCAGAUGGGCAGCCCCGCUCCCAAUCAAUACGUACGGAUGGAUUUGUCAGCAUAAUAUGAUGCGUUGUUUUCUUUGUGCUUUGACAGGUUAAUUAGGUUUAAUGUUCCCGAAUAGGACGUGGACGUGUGGUGUGUUUGAUCCGGGCUCUGUCAGGGUGAGGUAGUAGGUUGUAUAGUUUGGUGGGUGGGAUAGCACCCUGCUCAGGUGAUAACUAUACAGUCUAUUGCCUUCCCUGAGGAGUCCACUGAACAUGAUUCAUCAACACACUCUCAUUUUAGUAUCGCAUUUAUUCGUAGAUAACAGGAAGAAAGAGCAAGUUAAAUGAGCAGCACAAAUAUACACAUGAAAUGAUUGAGGCAGUAAAAUGACUGAUUUAUGUACAUCUGAUUAAAGUCUUACUUAAAUGGGUUAUCCAAUAAUCAGUGAAUGUGAUAGUGUUUGUCACCAACACUGAUGGUGUGAUAGUUUGUGUACAACAGUAGCUAGUGAGCCUGUUAGUCUACAGCACCCUCUAGUGAAAACUGAUGGGAUAGCUUUGAUACAAAUAAAUUCAGUGGACAAGCAGGCACUGAUUGUAAGAGAAUGCAUUUUUUUCUAACAAAACAUGACACAAAUUCAAACACUGUGGGGCUGCCUGUAGUGUCCCAGUUGUUCAUGUGAAAUAAAGUCUCAAAUGUU
Eleginops maclovinus (Patagonian blennie) is the source of this 1124-nucleotide long non-coding RNA. RefSeq lists it as uncharacterized. The transcript is spliced from 2 exons. NCBI's taxonomy places the organism in Eukaryota, Metazoa, Chordata, Actinopteri, Perciformes, Eleginopidae. The record is from RefSeq and is a predicted model, not a curated record.